UGUCGUGCCAACGGCAUAGCUGGGUAGCUAUGUAUGGACGGGAUAAGUGCUGAAAGCAUCUAAGCAUGAAGCCCCCCUCAAGAUGAGAUUUCCCAACUUCGGUUAUAAGAUCCCUCGAAGAUGACGAGGUUAAUAGGUUCGAGGUGGAAGCGUGGUGACACGUGGAGCUGACGAAUACUAAUCGAUCGAAGACUUAAUCAA
This 201-nucleotide ribosomal RNA is filed under the name Staphylococcus sp. Its description in RNAcentral is "partial 23S ribosomal RNA". It matches the Rfam family "Bacterial large subunit ribosomal RNA", at positions 2722 to 2925 of the family's 2925-position model. The record is from RNAcentral. Lineage: Bacteria; Bacillati; Bacillota; Bacilli; Caryophanales; Staphylococcaceae.